Apteryx owenii (little spotted kiwi) is the source of this 678-nucleotide long non-coding RNA. The record is from Ensembl. Lineage: Eukaryota; Metazoa; Chordata; Aves; Apterygiformes; Apterygidae.
CUGGUAUAUCCUACUCAAACUUUGUAUUAUUUCCCACUUCCUUUGGUGUUCGACCUCUCAAGUUGGCUGCCUAAUGAAAAAGAGAUUGAGUAUGAUGAAGGGGAGCUGUAAACUAUGAAUGCGAUUCACCAAAGGAGCAGUUUGUGUCUACUACUGAAAAUACUCUCUCAGUCAGCACUUCUGGAAAAGGCAUGUGAACAAAUAAUUCUUCAGUGGAAGACUAUAAUAUUAUUAUAUAUCAGUCUGCAAUGAGUGAAAAAAUGGAGAACACUUUGUAAAGUUAGGUCGUAACACACUGAAAGUAAAUCCUCAGUUAUUUCAUAGCUGCAUAUACUAUAUUCUUGAGUGGUAUUAUUGAGUCUUCUGCUCUUAGCUUUGUUUCUUCAGCAGAAGUUAGGGUAGAUGAGAUCUGUGAGUUAAAGGAGCAUUUUUCAGCACAGGAUUAGUAAGAAGCUUGAACCAUGAGUUUUAGAUGCUUUGAUCUAGGCAAAGCCUUUGGGACGGUGGCAUUCAUUGAAUAUUAUAUAGCCAAAGGCUUUCCAGGAAUUCUUUUUCUCCAUAUUCAUGUAAGCGGGAACUUCUGAUUGUACUUCAAGUUGGGGUACAUAUCCAGCUCAUUUUUGUUCUCUGGUGAUUCCCAUCUUUUUUGUGUUAACUUGUUUGUAGUGUACAUAGUGC